This 505-nucleotide ribosomal RNA is filed under the name uncultured bacterium. Its description in RNAcentral is "partial 16S ribosomal RNA". It matches the Rfam family "Bacterial small subunit ribosomal RNA", at positions 28 to 507 of the family's 1533-position model. The record is from RNAcentral.
GACGAACGCUGGCGGCGUGCCUAAUACAUGCAAGUAGAACGCACAGUUUAUACCGUAGCUUGCUCCACCAUAGACUGUGAGUUGCGAGCGGGUGAGUAACGCGUAGGUAACCUGCCUGGUAGCGGGGGAUAACUAUUGGAAACGAUAGCUAAUACCGCAUAAUAUUAAUUAUUGCAUGAUAAUUAAUUGAAAGGUGCAAUUGCACCACUACCAGAUGGACCUGCGUUGUAUUAGCUAGUAGGUGAGGUAACGGCUCACCUAGGCGACGAUACAUAGCCGACCUGAGAGGGUGAUCGGCCACACUGGGACUGAGACACGGCCCAGACUCCUACGGGAGGCAGCAGUAGGGAAUCUUCGGCAAUGGACGAAAGUCUGACCGAGCAACGCCGCGUGAGUGAAGAAGGUUUUCGGAUCGUAAAGCUCUGUUGUAAGAGAAGAACGGGUGUGAGAGUGGAAAGUUCACACUGUGACGGUAUCUUACCAGAAAGGGACGGCUAACUACGUG